RNAcentral lists this ribosomal RNA (468 nucleotides) under uncultured bacterium. Its description in RNAcentral is "partial 16S ribosomal RNA". It matches the Rfam family "Bacterial small subunit ribosomal RNA", at positions 28 to 507 of the family's 1533-position model. The record is from RNAcentral.
GACGAACGCUGGCGGCGUGCUUAACACAUGCAAGUCGAACGGAAAGGCCCUGCUUUUGUGGGGUGCUCGAGUGGCGAACGGGUGAGUAACACGUGAGUAACCUGCCCUUGACUUUGGGAUAACUUCAGGAAACUGGGGCUAAUACCGGAUAGGAGCUCCUGCUGCAUGGUGGGGGUUGGAAAGUUUCGGCGGUUGGGGAUGGACUCGCGGCUUAUCAGCUUGUUGGUGGGGUAGUGGCUUACCAAGGCUUUGACGGGUAGCCGGCCUGGGAGGGUGACCGGCCACAUGGGGACUGAGAUACGGCCCAGACGCCUACGGGAGGCAGCAGGGGGGAAUAUUGCACAAUGGGCGGAAGCCUGAUGCAGCAACGCCGCGUGCGGGAUGACGGCCUUCGGGUUGUAAACCGCUUUCGCCUGUGACGAAGCGUGAGUGACGGUAAUGGGUAAAGAAGCACCGGCUAACUACGUG